UUACAACGGCCGCCGGUGCAUUAGUACAUUUUUACAGAAAAAAGACAUAGGGACUAGGGGGUUGUAAAAUGUAUACAUAAAUAACUUGUUUUGGCUGUUAAACGUGUCUUUAGGCACGUAAAAAGUAAGUAAAUCACUCUAGAAAUCUGAAGAAUGCUUACUCAGCAAAACCAUCAGUUUGAGUUUGGAGAAGAAAUUUCAAAGAAGGCGUCUUGUGAGAACGUGAAGACAUAAACCACUGCAGUGAGGCUUGACAUGAUUAUUCCUCAUUCAUUGCCUGGUAAUACAGUGGAGGAACUUUGUAAGACUGUCUGCCAGCCUGCCACCCUUCCCAGCCCUCACCCAAAUACAUCACAAGAUCAAGGUGAUCAGUUGCAGCAUUUGCAUAGUAUGAGGGAGUAAUGCAACCAAGUGAUCAAUGUAUUGAAAAAGACUAGACGAGAGUGCCUUGCGAAUCCCACUGAUGUGCUUUUUGCGCCUGACCAGCCAGCCUGCCACUCUGCCCAGCCCUCACACAAAACAAUCACAAGAUCAAGAAUGAGCUCCUGCUGUUGACGGACCUCCACCAGGCUGUGCAGUGACUGCUGACCAAUAAGGGUUAAAAGGACGGGUAGAGAAGUGGAGGUGGACAUGGAGCCCUUUGUGUUCGACUUCGAAAUACAAGAGGACAUGGAGGACUUCUCGAAGGAGUGCCAGGACACGCAAAACCUAGCCGUACUGGCAACGUGUGCCCACCCUAACAGUCACACAUUCCCUAAAGUUUUGGUAUCAAGGUCUGUGUCUGGCAGUGCAAUGAACUUGUGUACACCUAGUGGUGUUGCGGUAAGCAACCACUUGGCCAACUGAAACAAAGAUGGGAGGCGAAUUAAUUGUUAUUAUCAAAAUAUUGUCAGCAUUUCAGUGCAACAGUGUUUAGAUAAGUACCUAAUAAGCUAGUUGAGCCUGUGGAUUUGUAUUCGAUUUAUAAUGGCUAACACUCAUACACAAACAAACACACACACGCACACACACACUCCCAACAUUUCCUUUGACUCUCCCACACACUCCAACACAACUCCAGUUGAGAAAAUGUUCUUUUAUAAUCUCACCAUUACGGUCUUCCUGGAUGAUAUCAGAAUAGCAGCCACUCUUGGAAAUGUGUAGUAAAUGUUUUAUUUAUGUACACGUUUAUACUUCAAUUAUUUUCAUUUAGUAUUGUGUUUGGAUGGCAUUUUUAUCUUAACAAAUAAGAUGCUUCAGAGGCUGAGAGUGCACAUAGUUAAAUGUCUGCACAUAUGUAAUUAUUCAUAUUUUAAUUAAAAGUUUAUUUUUGUGUUGAUUUUGUUUGAUUGUCCUGGUCCGUCUUCGGUGGAUUUGAAGCUGUGUUUGUCUAAUAAACAAAUUUGAUUAAAUUGAACCAAUUGAAAACAUAGGCUACUUUGGCCUUCCCUUGUCUUUUCCAUUUGGCUAAGUCUUUAAACAGUAAUAUCUGCUAGAAGUAGGCCUAUCGGGAGUUGUGGAUGUUUGGGUGGCCUUUUUAUCAUGACAAGUUUAAAUCAAAGAAAGAUGCAUUUUAUGUUUAUAUUUGGGUUAUCUUUGUUUAACAUACAGCCUAUGUGAUUAAUCAAAGGUAAGUGCAACAAUAAUACUCAUUAAUUAAGGUUCUUUGCCGUGAAUUUUAAUGACUGUACAUUGUAGGACUUGUGUACACUAAACUUGUCAUGAUUUAAAAAAAGUAAAAUAUUAAUGUUUAAGUAGGCCUAUUUUGCUGAUUAGUGGAUUUUAACAGACUCUUAAAAUUCUGCAAUACAAUACCCGUCAGUUAAAAGCAUCAAUAAAUGUCCCAUGGUAGUUUUAACGAUUCUUAGUCGAGAUGGCCGACAGGGGUAUGUUUUUUUGAACCGUACAACAUGAUUGCAUUGACUGCCUGGGCCAAGAUGGCCGACAGGGACAUGGAUGGGAUGCCUGGGCCAAGAUGGCCGACAGGGAUAUAGAGAGGGAUAUGGCGCUACAGUCCGCAGCCAGACAUA
Molecule: long non-coding RNA, 2009 nt
Organism: Engraulis encrasicolus (European anchovy)
Lineage: Eukaryota; Metazoa; Chordata; Actinopteri; Clupeiformes; Engraulidae
Exons: 6
Source: RefSeq, a predicted model, not a curated record